GUGCAUCUAAGCGAGAGUCAGAAGAACGCAUUGAGUGAGGUCUGGCGUAAUUAUAUAUAAAUUAACAGCYGUAUUAACAAUGGACAAUUACAAGAUCAAAUAAUCGGUACCAUCUCUAGGCGGACAUCUGCAUCCCCGGCCACCUUCGCGCAGCCCAGGAAAGCCCAGAGGCUGCAGCUCACAUUUGCAGGAUGCUCGCAAGCUCCUGCGAGAGUUUCCAAGAAGACUGCUUGCUUUCAGUCAAGGCCACUAUCUCCUCACCUUUGCGAGCAGUGGAGUCACACCAGUGAUUUAAUGCAGCGGAGGGAAUACUGUGAAAGCUGACAAUAGAUGUAAGGGGGUUUUAUGUUAUCGCCCACUAGUUUGCACAUGACUGGGUGUGAUUCACGGUCUUCACAGAAUGGGAGAAAAACUACAGAGAGAAUGAUUUAGAAAUAUCAUCCAAUUGAGCUGUGAGGGAAAAAAGCAAAAACAAAAGAAUGGAAAUACUUGCUGUACCUCAGGCUUACCGUAAAACCUUUACAAGUUGUAAAAAUACAGAAGUCAUGGACAAUGAAGUCAUGAAAAAAGACAAGAUAAUUCUAAUGUAAAUUCAGUCAUGAUAGAGAGAGGCUCUAAUAUAUGUAUAGAGAAAAUGCACUAUCAGGAUUUUAACUUACUGGGGUUUAGAGACCUAGUUAUAAAAUAACUACCUGCAUUGGACCUCCUAGCUUUUUAAGGCUAUCUUGCUUCCUACCAGUCUGUUAGCUGGGUUUUCAAAACAAGUCUGUGCAUUUGAGUUGUGGAAUUUGUGGAGCCUGUGAGGCUGCCAAACAAGGGAUUUCUUUCCUUCCUCAUCAUCCUCCAUCAUUGCAAACAAUGGACUGUGUCGUGAUUCUUGUAAAUACUUCAGGUAGUGUUUGUUUUAGAGGACAUGCCAAAUACGCUGUUUCUCUGAAUAUCCAGCGCUAGUUUCUGUCGUUACUGGCUCACUCUUUUGCCUAGUGUUUCAGCUGAGGUUUUAGGUGUCUCCUCUGUAUAGUACAUUCUCCUGUAGAUUUUGAAUACUGUGGAGUUAACAGUUUAAAAAAAAAAAAAUUCCUUCUCAUUUUUUGGGGAGUGGAGGAAUAAUAGGUCUAUAUUUUUAAAUCAUAAUAAUUCACCAAAUUAAUUGAUUUUUUUUUCCUUGACCUGUGUCAAGUAGCUKAAGUUGAGGUUAACUUGGGGGUCCUAAUGGACAGCAUAUUGACCAUGAGCCCUGGGACAAAGAAGGCCCCAACAGCAUCCCGGGCUGCAUUAAGUAGAUCGUUGCCAGCAGGUCAAGGGAGGCGAUCCUUCCCCUCCA
Molecule: long non-coding RNA, 1324 nt
Filed under: Dromaius novaehollandiae (emu)
Lineage: Eukaryota; Metazoa; Chordata; Aves; Casuariiformes; Dromaiidae
Description: lncRNA (ENSDNVG00000013209.1)
Source: RNAcentral